Molecule: unclassified non-coding RNA, 45 nt
Filed under: Trypanosoma cruzi
Lineage: Eukaryota; Euglenozoa; Kinetoplastea; Trypanosomatida; Trypanosomatidae
Description: spliced leader RNA, 5' & 3' partial
Source: RNAcentral
AUUAUUGAUACAGUUUCUGUACUAUAUUGGUACGCGAAGCUUCCA